AGCUCCCCACCGCCGCCCCUGCAGUGACCCUGUCACCCACCCACCGCCUGGCUUUCCUCAAGCAUUGCCGAAUUUUGUGAAGUCAUUACGACAUGCGGGCCUUGCCCCUGUGCAUAAUAUAAUGGUACACAUGACCCAUUCACGGUCGUGGCCCUGCUGCUCGUCAUAUGGCAUGAUAACCGACAUGGGACUGAAUCCUACGUACCGCAAGUGCGNNNNNNNNNNNNNNNNNNNNNNNNNNNNNNNNNNNNNNNNNNNNNNNNNNNNNNNNNNNNNNNNNNNNNNNNNNNNNNNNNNNNNNNNNNNNNNNNNNNNACUGCCAGGGCGGCCGCAAGCGCGCAGCAGCGACCCCAAAGUGGACGCAGAGCCGCAUUCGCGCCGGGGCACCACAACGCGAUCUAGAAGGCAGAGACGGUACUAGGGCACAAAUACCGUACACAGGCACAGACACGGACACAGGCACGGGUGGCACGGGCACCUUUGAGCGCACUUGCGGUACGUAGGAUUCAGUCCCAUGUCGGUUAUCAUGCCAUAUGACGAGCAGCAGGGCCAGCUGGGCCGCUCUUCCCAUAGAAUGUUCAAUUUUUGUGUUUUUCCAGCGCACCUUUGAGCGCAUUUAUGGCAUUUAUGGCAAAAACACAAAAAAUUGAACAUUCUAUGGGAAGAGCGGCCCAGCUGGCCCUGCUGCUCGUCAUAUGGCAUGAUAACCGACAUGGGACUGAAUCCUACGUACCGCAAGUGCGCUCAAAGGUGCCCGUGCCACCCGUGCCUGUGUCCGUGUCUGUGCCUGUGUACGGUAUUUGUGCCCUAGUACCGUCUCUGCCUUCUAGAUCGCGUUGUGGUGCCCCGGCGCGAAUGCGGCUCUGCGUCCACUUUGGGGUCGCUGCUGCGCGCUUGCGGCCGCCCUGGCAGUGCGUGUCAUGCUGGCAGUUGCUCAGCCCAGAGGCGGGAUCCCUUGCCUAUUUGAGCAUACUAAAGGCUGACCGGUAGCGGCAGGUGGCGUGCACCGGUUCUGCCUGGCGCACACAAAUGGCUCCAGGUAAAACAUGAGGGCAGAGAAGCACGCACACAAUUCAUGAGAACAUUUCUUUCUUGCGGGGCAGUUCUUCUGACAAACUACACGCAUCAGUCGUGACAUUGACAUUUACACGGCAUUGGCUGGGCGUUGGCCCCGGCGUGGGUCAUUGACGAACUGGACAUUUCUUGGAUGCUACUCAGCAUGUGCAUAGCGCUGACGGCUCUUGUGUGUGAGGAUGGGGGCAGGUUGCUGAGUUUAGUUUCAGAGAGGAGCGGGCUGCCGCGCUGGGUGUAGGUGCCGAAUACACGCCUGCAGCGGCAGCGAUGUGGGCUGCGCAGGCUUCAAGCCAAAUGAGGGGCCCUGUUGCGACGCCGGCGGUAGCGUAUACUGUAGCGACGGCAGUAGCGAAGGCAGUAGUGGCGGCGAUUGCUGGACAUUGUGUACCGUAGCUACCCGUGUGUGGGACGCAUUGGAAGCAGGGGGAGCACAAAACAUAGUAUAAUGGCGGUUCUAGGACAGUCCCGGGGCCCGACUAACCCCAACAACUCGUGUACGGCACUCCAACCCCCUUCAGCCGUACAGGAGUUUGCGUGGGAGUCGGCAGCUGUGCCAGUGUGCGCAGGUAGUUGUACGGCGGCCCGGCUCGGAAGCUACCUGACUGUAGUGAAGCACACGGGUUGUUGGCGGUGGCCGGCAGGCAAGCGAGUGGGAGUGGGCAGUUAAGCACGCACGCGUGCAAGAAGCUGCGACAGAUUAAGGCGGAGCACGGUUGAGGCUGGCGGUUGGCGCGCCGCGCGAGUGUGAAUGCAUAGUCGUGCACGCGCCGUUUGGGAAGCUGCGUGUGAGCUGCGUGUGAAGUAUGAACUCAGAGAGACGCAUGGGGCUGACCCUGUUUCCAUGAGCUGCUGCCCCUGGGCGUACACGGUUUCACACGGUCGACAUUGGGACCUGCCUGAAUAAUCCGCAGUGUGCGGCGGGACUUGCUGGAGUGCAUGACAGUCGCUGGGGGGCACACGAGGGGUGGGGCGCAGGGGCGGCUCGAAACUUGGGGAAAUGCGAUGCACGCCCGCCGCCGUGCGCAUGGCCCUCUGGGUUGUAACCAUUAUCAACGUCCAACUUGCUUCAAUUGCUGCUUUGCGCCCAGGAAUUCUAUGAGGCGUGUUUGGGAGCUGCCCGGGUUGUAGCAAACGUCAUUGGAAGACAGUUUGGGGCGCUCGCUCGUGAACAAUCUGGCGCCGUACGGCCGGUCGCGUCCCUCAAGUGGUGCAAGGGG
This 2291-nucleotide long non-coding RNA is filed under the name Chlamydomonas reinhardtii. RNAcentral describes it as "long non-coding RNA (CREI_LNC000264)". Lineage: Eukaryota; Viridiplantae; Chlorophyta; Chlorophyceae; Chlamydomonadales; Chlamydomonadaceae. The record is from RNAcentral.